RNAcentral lists this ribosomal RNA (435 nucleotides) under uncultured bacterium. RNAcentral describes it as "partial 16S ribosomal RNA". It matches the Rfam family "Bacterial small subunit ribosomal RNA", at positions 28 to 507 of the family's 1533-position model. The record is from RNAcentral.
GAUGAACGCUGGCGGUAUGCUUAACACAUGCCAGUCGAACGGACUCUUCGGAGUUAGUGGCGGACGGGUGAGUAACGCGUGAGAAUCUGGCUUUGGGUUCGGGACAACCACUGGAAACGGUGGCUAAUACCGGAUGUGCCGAGAGGUAAAAGAGAAAUUGCCUGAAGAUGAGCUCGCGUCUGAUUAGCUAGUUGGUGAGGUAAAGGCUCACCAAGGCAGCGAUCAGUAGCUGGGCUGAGAGGAUGACCAGCCACACUGGGACUGAGACACGGCCCAGACGCCUACGGGAGGCAGCAGUGGGGAAGUUUCCGCAAUGGGCGAAAGCCUGACGGAGCAAUACCGCGUGAGGGAAGAAGGCUCUUGGGUUGUAAACCUCUUUUCUUAGGGAAGAACAAAAUGACGGUACCUAAGGAAUCAGCAUCGGCUAACUCCGUG